RNAcentral lists this ribosomal RNA (292 nucleotides) under uncultured bacterium. RNAcentral's name for it is "partial 16S ribosomal RNA". The record is from RNAcentral.
GGACUACACGGGUAUCUAAUCCUGUUUGCUCCCCACGCUUUCGCGCCUCAGCGUCAGUAUUGGUCCAGAAAGUCGCCUUCGCCACUGGUGUUCCUUCCGGUAUCUACGCAUUUCACCGCUACACCGGAAAUUCCACUUUCCUCUACCAUACUCUAGUCUUACAGUAUCAAAUGCAAUUCCCAGGUUAAGCCCGGGUCUUUCACAUCUGACUUAUAAAACCGCCUACGCGCUCUUUACGCCCAGUAAUUCCGAUUAACGCUCGCACCCUCUGUAUUACCGCGGCUGCUGGCAC